GCCAGGUGUGGUGGUGUGCACCUGUAAUCCCAACUACUCGGGAGGCUGAGGCACAAGAAUCGCUUGAACCCGGGAGGUGGAGGCUGCAGUGAGCUGAGAUCAGACCACUGCACUCCAGCCUGGGUGACAGAGCGAGACUCUGUCUCAA
This 148-nucleotide non-coding RNA is filed under the name Nomascus leucogenys (northern white-cheeked gibbon). The record is from Rfam by way of RNAcentral. Lineage: Eukaryota; Metazoa; Chordata; Mammalia; Primates; Hylobatidae.